UAGGCAGAAGCCUGUUGGUUGUGGCAUCUAACUGUUAAUUAGAAGUUUAUGGGAUCGAAGCCCAUCUGUCUAG
Molecule: transfer RNA, 73 nt
Filed under: Crotophaga sulcirostris (groove-billed ani)
Lineage: Eukaryota; Metazoa; Chordata; Aves; Cuculiformes; Crotophagidae
Also listed under: 3 other names
Rfam family: tRNA
About the family: Transfer RNA (tRNA) molecules are approximately 80 nucleotides in length. Their secondary structure includes four short double-helical elements and three loops (D, anti-codon, and T loops).
Source: Rfam by way of RNAcentral